This is a long non-coding RNA of Salvelinus sp. IW2-2015, 632 nucleotides long. RefSeq lists it as uncharacterized. The record is from RefSeq and is a predicted model, not a curated record. Lineage: Eukaryota; Metazoa; Chordata; Actinopteri; Salmoniformes; Salmonidae.
ACCCGUCUGUUUGAGAACCGGAUGCUACCCUACGCCCCGGGAGUGGUGCAGAUGCAGGCUAUCCCUGAGGACGCCAUCCCUGAUGACACAGUGGACGAGGAUACAGAGGACCCUGACAAACGCAUGUCCAUCAGUGCUUCAGACAAGAGGAUAGCCUCCGAUGAGGAGUUCUCUGACUCGGAGGACAAGGGACAAGGAGGAAUGAGGAACGUGGCCGAUAACAAAAAAGGAACGAAGCAGCCCCGGGUAGAGGAAGACAAAGAGCGAGAGGAGAUGUAAGUUGAGGUGAAAGAGGAGAAAGCAAAGGAAACAAGCACUGAGAAAACUGACACAAAGUGUGAAGAAUGAGCAGACUAGUAGUGCCUGAUUCAGCCACAUGGUAGCACUGUGAUCUCUCCAUGGACAGUCCAGAGUGUGGCAGUCAGGGCAGCUCAUCUCAGCUGAUUCUACUCCCUCAUGUCAGACUCCAUAACUGAAGCAUUAUAUUUAUUGUCAUUGAUCUGUAUCAAAGAUCAUUUCUUAUAUUGACAAGAUGGUUGAGGGACCACUCUAGCAAUGGAAAUGCAUGUCCUCAAAGAUGGAAGGCAGGCAAGAUCAGGUGGGACCAUUCUAGCAAUUUUAUGAGAGGGCAG